Molecule: ribosomal RNA, 2926 nt
Filed under: Escherichia coli
Lineage: Bacteria; Pseudomonadati; Pseudomonadota; Gammaproteobacteria; Enterobacterales; Enterobacteriaceae
Description: bacterial LSU rRNA
Rfam family: Bacterial large subunit ribosomal RNA
Source: RNAcentral
GGGUUGUGAGGUUAAGCGACUAAGCGUACACGGUGGAUGCCCUGGCAGUCAGAGGCGAUGAAGGACGUGCUAAUCUGCGAUAAGCGUCGGUGAGGUGAUAUGAACCGUUAUAACCGGCGAUUUCCGAAUGGGGAAACCCAGUGUGUUUCGACACACUAUCAUUAACUGAAUCCAUAGGUUAAUGAGGCGAACCGGGGGAACUGAAACAUCUAAGUACCCCGAGGAAAAGAAAUCAACCGAGAUUCCCCCAGUAGCGGCGAGCGAACGGGGAGGAGCCCAGAGCCUGAAUCAGUGUGUGUGUUAGUGGAAGCGUCUGGAAAGGCGUGCGAUACAGGGUGACAGCCCCGUACACAAAAAUGCACAUAUUGUGAGCUCGAUGAGUAGGGCGGGACACGUGGUAUCCUGUCUGAAUAUGGGGGGACCAUCCUCCAAGGCUAAAUACUCCUGACUGACCGAUAGUGAACCAGUACCGUGAGGGAAAGGCGAAAAGAACCCCGGCGAGGGGAGUGAAAAAGAACCUGAAACCGUGUACGUACAAGCAGUGGGAGCCUCUUAAUGGGGUGACUGCGUACCUUUUGUAUAAUGGGUCAGCGACUUAUAUUCUGUAGCAAGGUUAACCGAAUAGGGGAGCCGAAGGGAAACCGAGUCUUAACUGGGCGUUAAGUUGCAGGGUAUAGACCCGAAACCCGGUGAUCUAGCCAUGGGCAGGUUGAAGGUUGGGUAACACUAACUGGAGGACCGAACCGACUAAUGUUGAAAAAUUAGCGGAUGACUUGUGGCUGGGGGUGAAAGGCCAAUCAAACCGGGAGAUAGCUGGUUCUCCCCGAAAGCUAUUUAGGUAGCGCCUCGUGAAUUCAUCUCCGGGGGUAGAGCACUGUUUCGGCAAGGGGGUCAUCCCGACUUACCAACCCGAUGCAAACUGCGAAUACCGGAGAAUGUUAUCACGGGAGACACACGGCGGGUGCUAACGUCCGUCGUGAAGAGGGAAACAACCCAGACCGCCAGCUAAGGUCCCAAAGUCAUGGUUAAGUGGGAAACGAUGUGGGAAGGCCCAGACAGCCAGGAUGUUGGCUUAGAAGCAGCCAUCAUUUAAAGAAAGCGUAAUAGCUCACUGGUCGAGUCGGCCUGCGCGGAAGAUGUAACGGGGCUAAACCAUGCACCGAAGCUGCGGCAGCGACGCUUAUGCGUUGUUGGGUAGGGGAGCGUUCUGUAAGCCUGUGAAGGUGGCCUGUGAGGGUUGCUGGAGGUAUCAGAAGUGCGAAUGCUGACAUAAGUAACGAUAAAGCGGGUGAAAAGCCCGCUCGCCGGAAGACCAAGGGUUCCUGUCCAACGUUAAUCGGGGCAGGGUGAGUCGACCCCUAAGGCGAGGCCGAAAGGCGUAGUCGAUGGGAAACAGGUUAAUAUUCCUGUACUUGGUGUUACUGCGAAGGGGGGACGGAGAAGGCUAUGUUGGCCGGGCGACGGUUGUCCCGGUUUAAGCGUGUAGGCUGGUUUUCCAGGCAAAUCCGGAAAAUCAAGGCUGAGGCGUGAUGACGAGGCACUACGGUGCUGAAGCGACAAAUGCCCUGCUUCCAGGAAAAGCCUCUAAGCAUCAGGUAACAUCAAAUCGUACCCCAAACCGACACAGGUGGUCAGGUAGAGAAUACCAAGGCGCUUGAGAGAACUCGGGUGAAGGAACUAGGCAAAAUGGUGCCGUAACUUCGGGAGAAGGCACGCUGAUAUGUAGGUGAAGCGACUUGCUCGUGGAGCUGAAAUCAGUCGAAGAUACCAGCUGGCUGCAACUGUUUAUUAAAAACACAGCACUGUGCAAACACGAAAGUGGACGUAUACGGUGUGACGCCUGCCCGGUGCCGGAAGGUUAAUUGAUGGGGUUAGCGGUAACGCGAAGCUCUUGAUCGAAGCCCCGGUAAACGGCGGCCGUAACUAUAACGGUCCUAAGGUAGCGAAAUUCCUUGUCGGGUAAGUUCCGACCUGCACGAAUGGCGUAAUGAUGGCCAGGCUGUCUCCACCCGAGACUCAGUGAAAUUGAACUCGCUGUGAAGAUGCAGUGUACCCGCGGCAAGACGGAAAGACCCCGUGAACCUUUACUAUAGCUUGACACUGAACAUUGAGCCUUGAUGUGUAGGAUAGGUGGGAGGCUUUGAAGUGUGGACGCCAGUCUGCAUGGAGCCGACCUUGAAAUACCACCCUUUAAUGUUUGAUGUUCUAACGUGGGCCCCUUACCGGGGUUGCGGACAGUGUCUGGUGGGUAGUUUGACUGGGGCGGUCUCCUCCUAAAGAGUAACGGAGGAGCACGAAGGUUGGCUAAUCCUGGUCGGACAUCAGGAGGUUAGUGCAAUGGCAUAAGCCAGCUUGACUGCGAGCGUGACGGCGCGAGCAGGUGCGAAAGCAGGUCAUAGUGAUCCGGUGGUUCUGAAUGGAAGGGCCAUCGCUCAACGGAUAAAAGGUACUCCGGGGAUAACAGGCUGAUACCGCCCAAGAGUUCAUAUCGACGGCGGUGUUUGGCACCUCGAUGUCGGCUCAUCACAUCCUGGGGCUGAAGUAGGUCCCAAGGGUAUGGCUGUUCGCCAUUUAAAGUGGUACGCGAGCUGGGUUUAGAACGUCGUGAGACAGUUCGGUCCCUAUCUGCCGUGGGCGCUGGAGAACUGAGGGGGGCUGCUCCUAGUACGAGAGGACCGGAGUGGACGCAUCACUGGUGUUCGGGUUGUCAUGCCAAUGGCACUGCCCGGUAGCUAAAUGCGGAAGAGAUAAGUGCUGAAAGCAUCUAAGCACGAAACUUGCCCCGAGAUGAGUUCUCCCUGAGACUUAGAGUCUCCUGAAGGAACGUUGAAGACGACGACGUUGAUAGGCCGGGUGUGUAAGCGCAGCGAUGCGUUGAGCUAACCGGUACUAAUGAACCGUGAGGCUUAACCUUACAACGCCGAAG